GUUUUUCUAAUGACAACAAAAAUGUAUGAAGAAGUAAAAGCAUUUUUAGAGUUUAUUGAUAAUAUUGGAGAAGAAAAUCGCCCGGGAAGUAUACAAAAGCGAUAUAUUCAAGAUAAAAAUAUAAUCUAAAAUACAAUGGAGUAUUACAAUAUUGAAGUUCAUCAGCGAAUCAGCGCAUUAACUUAAACAAUAAAGGUUUUAUGCUACUUAUAGGAAUAUAACCAGUUUUUAUGAGGACCCCGCUUUCCAAAAAUGUACAGGUACUAGAAGAGAAAUUAUGUGUAUUAUUGUUCAACAACAAGGUUAUCAAGUCAUUCAAUAUUUGAUCUAAGAGCAUUAAGAGUGAAAUUGUGAAAUGGAAAGAAGUGAAAUUCCAGGAUUAUUAAUAGGAAUAGAUGACAGUAGUGGGUAUGCAUGCAGACACUAUCUACUUACCCCAGUAUUACACCCAGGUAAUGAUCAAGAAAAUAAGAUUUUUACCAUAGUACUCAUGUGAGAACAAGAAAUGUAGAAAAGCUAUUUGGAACCUGGAAAAGAGUUUCCUUGUCUUCAACAAGGUCUACAAACCAAAUUAUAUACAUGUCUUGCAAUAAUAUGUGCUACAGCAGUACCUUACAAUCUAGGUAAAUAAUGAUCUGGUGGUAAAUAGACAUGUUAAUGAUGUGGAACAAUUUCUAAAUUUUUGGUGACAUUUUUUUCAACAAUAUUUUGCAUGAGAAUACAUUAUUGAAUACCUACUCUUAUUGUGUUUGAUUUUUUUGUCUAUUAUUUCUCAAAAUAUCAUGAUCAUUGUUCGACAGCCCUUUUUGUUUGAGUUUUGGUCUCUUGAGGAAUACAGCUCCAUUCCAAUCUAUUUCAGGAUUUGUUCUUGCAAUUUUUUAUUUUUAAAAUAUCAAUGUCUUAUUCUGUUUGUUCCUUAUAUAUAAUCUAUAGUCUUUCUCUCGUUAUAUGUCCAGCUGACAUUUGUGUGUUUAUUUUGGAAAGUAUUUCAUAUGCUUCCAUCCUUCCUCUUAGAACGUGGUCCUAUUUUGAUGAAUGCAUAUGGAUCGUGGUAUGCCCUGUAUAGUUCAAAAUUAUAUUUCAUAUGCUUCUAUCCUUCCUCUUAGAACGUGGUCCUAUUUUGAUGAAUGUAUAUGGAUCGUGGUAUGCCCUGUAUAGUUCAAAAUUAUAUUUCAUAUGCUUCCAUCUUUCCUCUUAGAACGUGGUCCUAUUUUGAUGAAUGUAUAUGAAUCGUGGUAUGCCCUGUAUAGUUCAAAAUUAUAUCUUCUCUGGUCUUCAUAUUUUAGAUGCUAUUUAGCCUGAUUCUAGUGCUUUAUCGUUGUUUCCAGUGCUUUAUCAAUUUAUCAUCAUUUAUUUUACCUACAGUAGGAAAAAUGAAAGAAUACCCAUGAACGAACGUAUAAAACACGCUGUAUUUUCCUGUCACCUUGUCACACAAAAAAUUGGCCAGUGCAAGUACAUGUAAUAUUUAUUGUUUCAUAUACUUGCACUGGACAAUUUUAGUUGUGAGACGGUUACAGGAAAAUACAGCGUGUUUUAUAUGUUCGUUCAUGGGUAUUCUUUCAUUUUUCCGACUGUACCUGUCUACUGCUACUCUACUAUUGUACUUUCACCAUAUAUUUUUGGAAUAUAAAUAUACCUUCUGUCUUUCUCUUGUUCAACUGGAAUUUGUUUAUUUAUUCUGAGAAUACAUUAUUGAAUCUGUAUUAUGUUAGAUAUAUUAUUUUUUAUUUUAUUUCUUAAUAUGUAUUUUUUAUAUUUUAUUUUAAAAUAAAUGAGUAUGAGUUUCCCUCUUCUUAAAUAA
This 1804-nucleotide long non-coding RNA is filed under the name Diabrotica virgifera virgifera (western corn rootworm). Its description in RNAcentral is "uncharacterized LOC126891817". The record is from RNAcentral. Lineage: Eukaryota; Metazoa; Arthropoda; Insecta; Coleoptera; Chrysomelidae.